AGAAGGUGAAAGACAAGAAACUCUCAGACGAGAAAUCACGCAUAGCCAAGGAGGCUUCAAUUUUGCUUAUGCUUGCCCAUGAUGGUUUUUCAACAUCUGAGCUUUGUUUGCAUUAUUUGCUGUCAUCAUCAAAUGUUGAUGAAGUUAUAUUAUUAUCUUCAAUAGGUAGAUUGAAUGGUAAAGAAAUGAUGAACUUAAUUAGGUAUCUGGGGAAAUGGUUAAAGAAAAUAUGAAAUGUUUCCUCAGGCAGGUC
This 253-nucleotide unclassified non-coding RNA is filed under the name Hevea brasiliensis (rubber tree). The record is from RNAcentral. Lineage: Eukaryota; Viridiplantae; Streptophyta; Magnoliopsida; Malpighiales; Euphorbiaceae.